RNAcentral lists this ribosomal RNA (490 nucleotides) under uncultured bacterium. RNAcentral describes it as "partial 16S ribosomal RNA". It matches the Rfam family "Bacterial small subunit ribosomal RNA", at positions 30 to 507 of the family's 1533-position model. The record is from RNAcentral.
AUUGAACGCUGGCGGCAGGCCUAACACAUGCAAGUCGAACGGUAACAGGAAGAAGCUUGCUUCUUUGCUGACGAGUGGCGGACGGGUGAGUAAUGUCUGGGAAACUGCCUGAUGGAGGGGGAUAACUACUGGAAACGGUAGCUAAUACCGCAUAACGUCGCAAGACCAAAGAGGGGGACCUUCGGGCCUCUUGCCAUCGGAUGUGCCCAGAUGGGAUUAGCUAGUAGGUGGGGUAACGGCUCACCUAGGCGACGAUCCCUAGCUGGUCUGAGAGGAUGACCAGCCACACUGGAACUGAGACACGGUCCAGACUCCUACGGGAGGCAGCAGUGGGGAAUAUUGCACAAUGGGCGCAAGCCUGAUGCAGCCAUGCCGCGUGUAUGAAGAAGGCCUUCGGGUUGUAAAGUACUUUCAGCGGGGAGGAAGGGAGUAAAGUUAGUACCUUUGCUCAUUGACGUUACCCGCAGAAGAAGCACCGGCUAACUCCGUG